UCAGGUGUAGCGGUGAAAUGCGUAGAGCAUCUGGUAGGAAUACCGGUGCGAAGGCGGCCUCCUGGACGAAGACUGACGCUCAGGUGCGAGAGCGUGCGGAGCAAACAGGAUUAGAUACCCUGGUAGUCCACGCCGUAACGAUGUCGACUUGGAGGUUGUGCCCUUGAGGCGUGGCUUCUGGAGCUAACGCGUUAAGUCGACCGGUGGGGAGUACGGCCGCAAGGUUAAAACUCAAAUGAAUUGACGGGGGCCCGCACAAGCGGUGGAGCAUGUGGUUUAAUUCGAUGCAACGCGAAGAACCUUACCUGGUCUUGACAUCCACGGAAGUUUUCAGAGAUGAGAAUGUGCCUUCGGGAACCGUGAGACAGGUGCUGCAUGGCUGUCGUCAGCUCGUGUUGUGAAAUGUUGGGUUAAGUCCCGCAACGAGCGCAACCCUUAUCCUUCGUUGCCAGCGGUCCGGCCGGGAACUCAAAGGAGACUGCCAGUGAUAAACUGGAGGAAGGUGGGGAUGACGUCAAGUCAUCAUGGCCCUUACGACCAGGGCUACACACGUGCUACAAUGGCGCAUACAAAGAGAAGCGACCUCGCGAGAGCAAGCGGACCUCAUAAAGUGCGUCGUAGUCCGGAUUGGAGUCUGCAACUCGACUCCAUGAAGUCGGAAUCGCUAGUAAUCGUGGAUCAGAAUGCCACGGUGAAUACGUUCCCGGGCCUUGUACACACCGCCCGUCACACCAUGGGAGUGGGUUGCAAAAGAAGUAGGUAGCUUAACCUUCGGGAGGGCGCUUACCACUUUGUGAUUCAUGACUGGGGUGAAGUCGUAACAAGGUAACCA
RNAcentral lists this ribosomal RNA (832 nucleotides) under uncultured soil bacterium. RNAcentral describes it as "SSU rRNA". It matches the Rfam family "Bacterial small subunit ribosomal RNA", at positions 669 to 1502 of the family's 1533-position model. The record is from RNAcentral.